Molecule: ribosomal RNA, 2791 nt
Filed under: Escherichia coli
Lineage: Bacteria; Pseudomonadati; Pseudomonadota; Gammaproteobacteria; Enterobacterales; Enterobacteriaceae
Description: partial 23S ribosomal RNA
Rfam family: Bacterial large subunit ribosomal RNA
Source: RNAcentral
AACCCAGUGUGUUUCGACACACUAUCAUUAACUGAAUCCAUAGGUUAAUGAGGCGAACCGGGGGAACUGAAACAUCUAAGUACCCCGAGGAAAAGAAAUCAACCGAGAUUCCCCCAGUAGCGGCGAGCGAACGGGGAGGAGCCCAGAGCCUGAAUCAGUGUGUGUGUUAGUGGAAGCGUCUGGAAAGGCGCGCGAUACAGGGUGACAGCCCCGUACACAAAAAUGCACAUGCUGUGAGCUCGAUGAGUAGGGCGGGACACGUGGUAUCCUGUCUGAAUAUGGGGGGACCAUCCUCCAAGGCUAAAUACUCCUGACUGACCGAUAGUGAACCAGUACCGUGAGGGAAAGGCGAAAAGAACCCCGGCGAGGGGAGUGAAAAAGAACCUGAAACCGUGUACGUACAAGCAGUGGGAGCCUCUUAAUGGGGUGACUGCGUACCUUUUGUAUAAUGGGUCAGCGACUUAUAUUCUGUAGCAAGGUUAACCGAAUAGGGGAGCCGAAGGGAAACCGAGUCUUAACUGGGCGUUAAGUUGCAGGGUAUAGACCCGAAACCCGGUGAUCUAGCCAUGGGCAGGUUGAAGGUUGGGUAACACUAACUGGAGGACCGAACCGACUAAUGUUGAAAAAUUAGCGGAUGACUUGUGGCUGGGGGUGAAAGGCCAAUCAAACCGGGAGAUAGCUGGUUCUCCCCGAAAGCUAUUUAGGUAGCGCCUCGUGAAUUCAUCUCCGGGGGUAGAGCACUGUUUCGGCAAGGGGGUCAUCCCGACUUACCAACCCGAUGCAAACUGCGAAUACCGGAGAAUGUUAUCACGGGAGACACACGGCGGGUGCUAACGUCCGUCGUGAAGAGGGAAACAACCCAGACCGCCAGCUAAGGUCCCAAAGUCAUGGUUAAGUGGGAAACGAUGUGGGAAGGCCCAGACAGCCAGGAUGUUGGCUUAGAAGCAGCCAUCAUUUAAAGAAAGCGUAAUAGCUCACUGGUCGAGUCGGCCUGCGCGGAAGAUGUAACGGGGCUAAACCAUGCACCGAAGCUGCGGCAGCGACACUAUGUGUUGUUGGGUAGGGGAGCGUUCUGUAAGCCUGUGAAGGUGGCCUGUGAGGGUUGCUGGAGGUAUCAGAAGUGCGAAUGCUGACAUAAGUAACGAUAAAGCGGGUGAAAAGCCCGCUCGCCGGAAGACCAAGGGUUCCUGUCCAACGUUAAUCGGGGCAGGGUGAGUCGACCCCUAAGGCGAGGCCGAAAGGCGUAGUCGAUGGGAAACAGGUUAAUAUUCCUGUACUUGGUGUUACUGCGAAGGGGGGACGGAGAAGGCUAUGUUGGCCGGGCGACGGUUGUCCCGGUUUAAGCGUGUAGGCUGGUUUUCCAGGCAAAUCCGGAAAACCAAGGCUGAGGCGUGAUGACGAGGCACUACGGUGCUGAAGUGACAAAUGCCCUGCUUCCAGGAAAAGCCUCUAAGCAUCAGGUAACAUCAAAUCGUACCCCAAACCGACACAGGUGGUCAGGUAGAGAAUACCAAGGCGCUUGAGAGAACUCGGGUGAAGGAACUAGGCAAAAUGGUGCCGUAACUUCGGGAGAAGGCACGCUGAUAUGUAGGUGAAGCGACUUGCUCGUGGAGCUGAAAUCAGUCGAAGAUACCAGCUGGCUGCAACUGUUUAUUAAAAACACAGCACUGUGCAAACACGAAAGUGGACGUAUACGGUGUGACGCCUGCCCGGUGCCGGAAGGUUAAUUGAUGGGGUUAGCGGUAACGCGAAGCUCUUGAUCGAAGCCCCGGUAAACGGCGGCCGUAACUAUAACGGUCCUAAGGUAGCGAAAUUCCUUGUCGGGUAAGUUCCGACCUGCACGAAUGGCGUAAUGAUGGCCAGGCUGUCUCCACCCGAGACUCAGUGAAAUUGAACUCGCUGUGAAGAUGCAGUGUACCCGCGGCAAGACGGAAAGACCCCGUGAACCUUUACUAUAGCUUGACACUGAACAUUGAGCCUUGAUGUGUAGGAUAGGUGGGAGGCUUUGAAGUGUGGACGCCAGUCUGCAUGGAGCCGACCUUGAAAUACCACCCUUUAAUGUUUGAUGUUCUAACGUUGGCCCCUAAUCGGGGUUGCGGACAGUGUCUGGUGGGUAGUUUGACUGGGGCGGUCUCCUCCUAAAGAGUAACGGAGGAGCACGAAGGUUGGCUAAUCCUGGUCGGACAUCAGGAGGUUAGUGCAAUGGCAUAAGCCAGCUUGACUGCGAGCGUGACGGCGCGAGCAGGUGCGAAAGCAGGUCAUAGUGAUCCGGUGGUUCUGAAUGGAAGGGCCAUCGCUCAACGGAUAAAAGGUACUCCGGGGAUAACAGGCUGAUACCGCCCAAGAGUUCAUAUCGACGGCGGUGUUUGGCACCUCGAUGUCGGCUCAUCACAUCCUGGGGCUGAAGUAGGUCCCAAGGGUAUGGCUGUUCGCCAUUUAAAGUGGUACGCGAGCUGGGUUUAGAACGUCGUGAGACAGUUCGGUCCCUAUCUGCCGUGGGCGCUGGAGAACUGAGGGGGGCUGCUCCUAGUACGAGAGGACCGGAGUGGACGCAUCACUGGUGUUCGGGUUGUCAUGCCAAUGGCACUGCCCGGUAGCUAAAUGCGGAAGAGAUAAGUGCUGAAAGCAUCUAAGCACGAAACUUGCCCCGAGAUGAGUUCUCCCUGAGACUUAGAGUCUCCUGAAGGAACGUUGAAGACGACGACGUUGAUAGGCCGGGUGUGUAAGCGCAGCGAUGCGUUGAGCUAACCGGUACUAAUGAACCGUGAGGCUUAACCUUACAACGCCGAAG